GACGAACGCUGGCGGCGUGCUUAACACAUGCCAGUCGAACGGUGAAGGGGUCUGCUUUUGUGGGCCCUGGAUGAGUGGCGAACGGGUGAGUAACACGUGAGUAACCUGCCCCCUUCUUCUGGAUAACCGCAUGAAAGUGUGGCUAAUACGGGAUAUUCUGGGUCUGUCGCAUGAUGGGUCUGGGAAAGAUUGCGCCUUUGGGUGUUUUUGGUGGGGGAUGGGCUCGCGGCCUAUCAGCUUGUUGGUGGGGUGAUGGCCUACCAAGGCGGUGACGGGUAGCCGGCCUGAGAGGGUGGACGGUCACACUGGGACUGAGACACGGCCCAGACUCCUACGGGAGGCAGCAGUGGGGAAUAUUGCACAAUGGGCGCAAGCCUGAUGCAGCGACGCCGCGUGAGGGAUGGAGGCCUUCGGGUUGUAAACCUCUUUCGCCAGUGAAGCAGGCCUGCUCCUUGUGGGUGGGUUGACGGUAGCUGGAGAAGAAGCGCCGGCUAACUACGUG
This 502-nucleotide ribosomal RNA is filed under the name uncultured bacterium. RNAcentral describes it as "partial 16S ribosomal RNA". It matches the Rfam family "Bacterial small subunit ribosomal RNA", at positions 28 to 507 of the family's 1533-position model. The record is from RNAcentral.